CAACCCGGGAUUGCCUUAGUAACGGCGAGUGAAGCGGCAAAAGCUCAAAUUUGAAAUCUGGUACCUUCGGUGCCCGAGUUGUAAUUUGGAGAGGGCAACUUUGGGGCCGUUCCUUGUCUAUGUUCCUUGGAACAGGACGUCAUAGAGGGUGAGAAUCCCGUGUGGCGAGGAGUGCGGUUCUUUGUAAAGUGCCCUCGAAGAGUCGAGUUGUUUGGGAAUGCAGCUCUAAGUGGGUGGUAAAUUCCAUCUAAAGCUAAAUAUUGGCGAGAGACCGAUAGCGAACAAGUACAGUGAUGGAAAGAUGAAAAGAACUUUGAAAAGAGAGUGAAAAAGUACGUGAAAUUGUUGAAAGGGAAGGGCAUUUGAUCAGACAUGGUGUUUUGUGCCCUCUGCUCCUUGUGGGUAGGGGAAUCUCGCAUUUCACUGGGCCAGCAUCAGUUUUGGUGGCAGGAUAAAUCCAUAGGAAUGUAGCUUGCCUCGGUAAGUAUUAUAGCCCUGUUGGGAAUACUGCCAGCUGGGACUGAGGACUGCGACGUAAGUCAAGGAUGCUGGCAUAAUGGUUAUAUGCCGCCCGUCUUGAAACCCGGGAACCAA
Molecule: ribosomal RNA, 594 nt
Filed under: Saccharomyces cerevisiae (brewer's yeast)
Lineage: Eukaryota; Fungi; Ascomycota; Saccharomycetes; Saccharomycetales; Saccharomycetaceae
Description: LSU rRNA
Rfam family: Eukaryotic large subunit ribosomal RNA
Source: RNAcentral